This 1052-nucleotide long non-coding RNA is filed under the name Falco tinnunculus (common kestrel). Its description in RNAcentral is "lncRNA (ENSFTIG00000013883.1)". The record is from RNAcentral. Lineage: Eukaryota; Metazoa; Chordata; Aves; Falconiformes; Falconidae.
CAGAGGCACAGUGACUCUGCCAUGUGCAUACUGCCAACACAAAGCAGGGGGCCAUUGCCACCACAGCAAACCACUUUUGGGAAUUCCCACUUCAAGAAGAGAUGGACAACCAGUUUUAAGCUACAGCUGGGCAAGGUAAAGCAUCGAGAUGCAAAUGCCUUCAGGCUUCUUUUGUGUGUCUCAGUUAAGGUCAUACUUUACUGGCCCAGCUAGGCAAGGUUUGUAAACACGGGGUGUGGUUUGUAAAGUGAGUCUGCUCUACCUGUCAACAGCUUCAUGCUCCUACUCCCUCUCCUAUUGCAGAUCCUGCUCCUUGUUUGACUCUUGCUGAUGCAGUCUAGGACAAUGACCUAGCAGAAAAUUGUUCACUUUUCCACCACCCCACCCCCCUCCCCCCCAGAUUAAUUUUCUGUCAGACUGACAUACUCUGAUAGCUUGCCAAAGUAAGAUGAGCAUCAGUGCUGGCACAAGAAGGGAUACAGGGUUGCUCAAGAGAGAGGAAUGAGUAAUACAGAAGCAUUACAUUAAUUCAGUUGGUUGGUUAUAAAUCCACACCUUUCCAGCUGCCUAUUUGCCUGGCAUAGAUCAACCACAACUACCAUCAAAUGAGGAGACUUUUCUUCCUCCUUUUUCAUUACUAGCAAGAUUUGUUUGCAGGAUUGCUGUCUUCAUUUUUUCAGAUCACUUCAAAGACAAGAAGCAGUAAUGGCAGCAGUGGAAAAACAGUAGAGAACAGGGGAAAGCAAGAGACACGGCAAGGAAUGGGAUAGGAAAGGUCAUCUCUGCUGCAGCAGCACAUUAGAUCAGUAGCACAAGGUAGUUGUGAAAUCAUCUGCUUGGGUACCCCCAGCAGCUGCAGGUGCUGCCUCUAAGCCAGCCAGGGCACAGCUGGGAGAAGGGGGGAUGCUGUCCUCUUCUUCCUCAGCUGUGACCCUAGGCUCCUAUGAGUAUUAUCCCCUAUGUUCCUCUGCCUGACUCUCCCCAUUAGCUCAUUGACUGCAGCUGCUGGGCUAGUUUGGCUCUGGGAACACCUCCACAGAGGCUGCUGGGAG